GGCGUGCCGCCAUUUUGUCGGGGAGCGCCAGGGAGGGCGUUGCUGCCGCCGGCGGGCGGGACUGCGCUUGUCCUUGUCGGUUCGGAAGCGCUGUGUGGAAGCCAGAAUCUUUAACCAGCUCAUUAUGCUGAAUUGUCUGAAACCCAAACUGCCAAGUCAGUUGAAAACAGAUUGGUGCUCCCCUUUUGCUGAAAACCUUUGUUAUGUCGUCUCCUCAAGGAUACAGCUUACCACCGCUCCCUGCCAGCGGCCGCAACGCACUGCCUGGCGCUCCCCGACAAAAUGGCGGCGUGCCCGCCCCGCUGAGAGCUGCCUCUCUCCGCCAAGGAGACCCAGGGGCUGAGAGGGUCUCACAGAGUCUGGCCUUACUUUAUGUUUGGAGCUCAGCGAACCAGAGGGUACGGCUGCUCACACUCCAC
Long non-coding RNA from Columba livia (rock pigeon), 419 nucleotides. RefSeq lists it as uncharacterized. The transcript is spliced from 3 exons. NCBI's taxonomy places the organism in Eukaryota, Metazoa, Chordata, Aves, Columbiformes, Columbidae. The record is from RefSeq and is a predicted model, not a curated record.